Oryzias latipes (Japanese medaka) is the source of this 2368-nucleotide long non-coding RNA. RefSeq lists it as uncharacterized. NCBI's taxonomy places the organism in Eukaryota, Metazoa, Chordata, Actinopteri, Beloniformes, Adrianichthyidae. The record is from RefSeq and is a predicted model, not a curated record.
UUGACCUGCGUUCUUUUCAGUCUUAUCAGUCACAGAGAUGUUAGUUCACCUUUUGUGUUUAACCAUAGUGCAAUUGGCAACAACAUCCACUCAUGACUGUGAUGGAGAUACUGUGUUGGAAAAGUUGUUUGCUUUGUUUGUACACAUUGUUUUUGUCAUGUACUAAUAUGCAUGGAAAACCCUAGGCACUAACUGGUGUUUUAUUAUCCUUUUUGUUUCAUUUUCUGCGCACUUUUGACAACUUGAUGUUGGCAUGUUUUUUUUGUUUUUUUUUGUCAGAUUCUGAAAAGUAUUGGUGUUGCACCAGUAAACCUGAUUUGGUGAUUAACAAUAUUUCUUAUGAAAUUGAUCAUCAUUUCAUUUUUUUCUUUUCCCUUACAGACAGUGAAGUGAGACCAUGACAAAUCCGGCUAUUCUCAGAGUUAUCCUUGGACCCGACAACAGUCAGAGGGUUGUGAUUUCUGCUGGCCUGCCUUCAUCUGUGGCUGCAUUAGAGGCUGAGAUACAGACUCAAUGUAAAAUAAUGACGCCCUUUCGACUGCAGUUUAUGGAACCACUUUUUGGAAACGACUUUGUGAACUUGACUUCAAUAGAGGAAAUACAAGACAAAGCGACACUCAAAGUUGUGUACACAUUCGGCCAACCUCAGGAUCAAGAUGAAGAUAGUUUUUCCUUUCCUCAACCAGUGCUCCUGAUGUCGCCUCAUCUAGUUCUGGUGACAGCACUCUGAUUCUUUCAUCUCCAGAGUCUACCUCAUCACGGUCAUCAUGGCCAGAUUUGUUCCUUGUUCCUCGUUUUACAUAUGAUGCAGAAAUUAAGUUGGAGAAGGCCCAUGUAGCUUUCAAAGAAAAUGGGAUGCUGCUGAUUCCUGAUCCAAAGCUGAAGUCUGACAUAUUGGAAGGGUUGAUCCAGGAGGUAGUCAAACAUACAGUAUAUCCCACGGACAGAAAGUUUGACCAAGUUGCAGAGGCACUCAUCCUGAGGCAUCCAUGUUUAAAAGAAAAGGGCUCACCCAGUGGCUAUGCGGGAUGGAAGAUGAGCCUCAAAUACAAAUUGUCAAACUACCGCACACAUCUCAGGAAAGUAGGAUGUCCUGAGGUAUGUGUGAAUGCUUUAAAACAUAAACCAGCUGAGAAAUGUUCUCCUGCUUAUGAUGUUAAAAGACCAAAGAGGGGUGAAGUGGAUUACUGUCCCCCUUUUCCACUUGUAGAAAGUGAACAGUCCCUUGAGACAAUAAGGAUCGAACUUCUUUCGGAUGUAAAGAAGCGCAACAACAGAGAUAAAAUCAAGGAUAAAAUGAACAAAACUUUUUCAUUAAGAAGACAAGAAGUAAUUUAUGAUGCUCCCAUGAUCAGCGAGCUACAAGAGAGAUGGCCAGCUCUUUUUGAUCCAGCAGAGAUAAACGCAGAGUUCAAGCGCAUUACAACCAUGCCUCUACAGUCAAGGUUUCUGUCGCAGCUAGACUUUCUGUCUGAAAGUCUGCUGAGAGUGUUUGCAAAGCGAUCAGGGAAGCAGGGCAAAAUGUUGAAAGACAUGUCAGACAUGAUAAUGAUGACGUGGAUGCUAGAAGGGAGUCCCUCAUUAAAGGACUUUGCCUCUAUUUGAAUGAGAAUCCUGACAUCUUGGUGCAUGAGUACAUGGACAUGACUGACGUCUCCACUCUAAGUGCCAUUGAGAAAACAAUAGUGGGAGUCUAUGUUGCCAGGGAGACACCAGGCAAGGACUUUCCUGAUGUUGGCAUCUUCAUCGAAGGUGUGGUGAUACUUCAGGACCUGGAUAAUGUGGCCCUUGGAACAGCCAUGCUGUUUGGACUUUUUUACUGCUUCAACAUGAGUUACCCGGCACAGCUCCGCUACACUUUUGAAGUGAUUCAAAAGGUGGUCAUGGAAUUAGAUCCGACUGAACUCUCGAGAAAAGCCCAAAACUUAAAGACAAAACUUCAAUGAGGAGAGAUCAUUGUUGUGCGGGUCACAUGUUUAACUUAAGGUAAGAGGACAUUUAUAGUUCACAUACGCCCUCUUGCAUUUUGGACAUUGAAUUUCUAGGUGAAUGAUCAGCAACCCAAAAACGAUCACAUUGUUCAUUGUAGUGUUUAUUCUGUGAGAUGGUUAUAACUGUUUACCUGCCAUGGAAACGUAGUGCCAGUUUUUUCUUUUUGAUUGGCAUUGUUCUUCAAUUUUGUUUUUCCAAGUGAGAAAGGAUGAUUGUACACAAUCUGAAAAGGUUAUAGUUUAAAAAAAAAGUUUUAAUACUUCUAAGGCUGUUUUGAAUCAAGAUGUCACAAUACCAGUGUUGAAAUUUUGGACACUUGCUGUAUUUUUGACUGUAUUUUGUGCUGUGGCUUUUGAAAUAAAGCUUUGACAUGCAA